UGCAAGUCGAACGGUAACAGGUCUUCGCGAUGCUGACUGGAGUGUGCGAACGUGGCUGNNGAUNNAGUGACGAAUGCGAGAACGUGCCUAGUAGUGGGGGAUAAGCUACUCGAAAGAGUAGCUAAUACCGCAUGAGAUCUACGGAUGAAAGCAGGGGACCUUCGGGCCUUGUGCUACUAGAGCGGCUGAUGGCAGAUUAGGUAGUUGGUGGGGUAAAGGCUUACCAAGCCUGCGAUCGUGUACGCAUGGUCUGAGAGGGACGACCAAGCCAGCAACUGGGACUGAGGACACGGCCCAGACGUCCUACGAGGAGGCAGCAGUGGGGAAUUNNUGGGACAAUGGGCGAAAGCCUGAUCCAGCAGAUGCCGCGUGCANNGAUGGAGAGGGCCCUCGGGUUGUAAACUGCUUUUGUACGGAACGAAAAGCCUGGGGCUAAUAUCCCCGGGUCAUGACGGUACCGUAAGAAUAAGCACCGGCUAACUACGUGCCAGCAGCCGCGGUAAUACGUAGGGUGCAAGCGUUAAUCGGAAUUACUGGGCGUAAAGCGUGCGCAGGCGGUUUUGUAAGACAGUGGUGAAAUCCCCGGGCUCAACCUGGGAACUGCCAUUGUGACUGCAAAGCUAGAGUGCGGCAGAGGGGGAUGGAAUUCCGCGUGUAGCAGUGAAAUGCGUAGAUAUGCGGAGGANNCACCGAUGGCGAAGGCAGAUCCCCUGGGCCUGCACUGACGCUCAUGCACGAAAGCGUGGGGAGCGAAACAGGAUUAGAUAGCCCUGGUAGUCCGGACGCCGCUAAACGAGUGUCAACUAGGUUGUUGGGUCUUAGACUGACUCNNGAUAGACGAAGCUAACGCGUGAAGUUGACCGCCUGGGGAGUACGGCCGCAAGGUUGAAAGCUCAAAGGAANNUGACGGGNNACCCGCACAAGUCGNNUGGAUGAUGUAGGUUUAAUNNCGAUGCAACGC
Molecule: ribosomal RNA, 961 nt
Filed under: Comamonas sp.
Lineage: Bacteria; Pseudomonadati; Pseudomonadota; Betaproteobacteria; Burkholderiales; Comamonadaceae
Description: partial 16S ribosomal RNA
Rfam family: Bacterial small subunit ribosomal RNA
Source: RNAcentral